UCUUGAGUGGGCACGGAGCCCCAGCAUGCUGGUUCAAUAAAUCCCCCUUCUGCCAAUUGCAUGAGUGGUCACUUGGUGGUCUCUUUCUCUGACGUUUCGCGGGACCCUUACAUUUGGUGCAUUGGCCAGGAAAAGUGCAUCGCCAGACAAGGAGACCUCCAACGGACUCUUUUAGGGGGUAAGUAAGGCGCCUCUUCCUCUUCUUCUUCCUCCUUUUCUUCUCCUCCUUGUUCUCCUUCUUAUUUUUCCUUUGCGAUCGCUUAGAGCUUUUUGGUUUUUGGCUCGAUGGAGAGCGUAAGUUCUCAGAGCUUUUUGGUUUUGGGCUCGGUGGAGAGUGUAAGUUCUCAGAGCUUUUUGGUUCAGGUUUGGUUUUUGGCUUGGAUUGGUUUGGUUGGGUUGGCAGCAUGGCCGUCAGUGGAGAGUGUAAAUUCUCCCUGGCAGUGGUGACAGACGUGUCCUAAUCCACAGGCCACUCCUCUUAAGGGACGCCUUAGAGGAUUUGGGGGGGGGGCAAAAGUGCCCCCAGUUGGUAGAGGGACAAGAGUGCCCUCGUUUGUACUCUGCUGCCAACCCGUUUGGUUUCGCCGGCAA
RNAcentral lists this long non-coding RNA (591 nucleotides) under Marmota monax (woodchuck). The record is from RNAcentral. Lineage: Eukaryota; Metazoa; Chordata; Mammalia; Rodentia; Sciuridae.